This 73-nucleotide transfer RNA is filed under the name Anaerolineae bacterium. RNAcentral's name for it is "tRNA-Asp". It matches the Rfam family "tRNA". From Rfam's summary of the family: Transfer RNA (tRNA) molecules are approximately 80 nucleotides in length. Their secondary structure includes four short double-helical elements and three loops (D, anti-codon, and T loops). Further hydrogen bonds mediate the characteristic L-shaped molecular structure. tRNAs have two regions of fundamental functional importance: the anti-codon, which is responsible for specific mRNA codon recognition, and the 3' end, to which the tRNAs corresponding amino acid is attached (by aminoacyl-tRNA synthetases). tRNAs cope with the degeneracy of the genetic code in two manners: having more than one tRNA (with a specific anti-codon) for a particular amino acid; and 'wobble' base-pairing, i.e. permitting non-standard base-pairing at the 3rd anti-codon position. Lineage: Bacteria; Bacillati; Chloroflexota; Anaerolineae. The record is from RNAcentral.
GGAGCUGUGGUGUAGUGGUUAACAUAUCCGCCUGUCACGUGGAAGAUCGCGGGUUCGAAACCCGUCAGCUCCG